UACGGAGGGUGCAAGCGUUAUCCGGAUUUACUGGGUUUAAAGGGUGCGUAGGUGGAUAAGUAAGUCAGUGGUGAAAUCUUCGGGCUUAACCCGGAAACUGCCAUUGAUACUAUUUGUCUUGAAUACUUUGGAGGUAAGCGGAAUAUGUCAUGUAGCGGUGAAAUGCUUAGAUAUGACAUAGAACACCAAUUGCGAAGGCAGCUACUACACAGUAAUUGACACUGAGGCACGAAAGCGUGGGGAUCAAACAGG
RNAcentral lists this ribosomal RNA (252 nucleotides) under uncultured bacterium. Its description in RNAcentral is "partial 16S ribosomal RNA". It matches the Rfam family "Bacterial small subunit ribosomal RNA", at positions 524 to 776 of the family's 1533-position model. The record is from RNAcentral.